This is a non-coding RNA of Microcebus murinus (gray mouse lemur), 3829 nucleotides long. The record is from RefSeq and is a predicted model, not a curated record. NCBI's taxonomy places the organism in Eukaryota, Metazoa, Chordata, Mammalia, Primates, Cheirogaleidae.
UUCGAUUGGGCGGCUCAACGUUGCCGAGCCACGACGCUGUAAGGCGCGUGCCGAUUGGUCCGUUCGGCUCCCGAGCCCAGCCCCCGGGGGGUGGGAUGUCUCGAGAGUGAGUGUUCGGGAGAGCACGUGUUCGGGAAGGCGGAGGCGGAGGGGCGAGCCCGCCCCGAGGGACAGUGCUCCCACUGGUCACGGGGUCCUGAACUCGCCCGGACACUCUGGAGGGAAGGAUAAGUCAAAUCAGGUCUGGAGGCGUCGGACCAGGUAGAGAUCUCCUGAGCAAACUGGAAGCCCAGAUCACCUUCCACCUGGAAGGGACUAUGAGCCUCACUCUUAGCGGCCCAGAGACUCUAAUAAUGGCGGUCACCUUUCCCCAGGAAUCAGAAUGGAAGCUCUAUGACAAGGCCAAAGAGGAACAGACCACCUGACUUCUGGCAGGAUUUUCCAUUGCUAUGGGCGGAGGACAAUCCCCCCCGCCCCACCGGUCUUGCACACCAGCAUGCACCCCUGGUGAUCAAGAUGAAACCGGGAGCCCAACCGACCAGGAGACAACAGUACCCCAUCCCCAAGGAGGCUCAAAAGGGAAUUCAGGAACACGUUAAUAGGCUUAAGCAGGAGGGGAUUUUAGUGGAGUGCCAGUCCCCAUGGAACACUCCCCUCCUGCCAGUCAAAAAGCCCAACGGAGGUGGAUACUGGCCCGUCUGAGAUGUGCGACUGAUUAAUGAGGCCAGAGUGGCUCUCCACCCAGUGGUACUGAAUCCAUACACCCUCCUGAGCCUCAUUCCUCCUGAUGCUGCCUGGUUCUCCUGCCUAGACUUAAAGGAUGCUUUCUUCUGCCUGCAGCUCAUUCCAAAGAGCCAGCCCCUGUUCGCCUUCGAGUGGAAGGAUCCUCAGACUAGAAGGAAAACUCAGCUGACCUGGACUCUACUACCACAGGGAUUUAAAAAUUCACCAACUCUAUUCGGAGAGGCUCUAACCGCUGACCUCAUCUCCUUUCUGAGAGAAGAAACCCACUGCACACUUCUACAGUAUGUCAAUGACCUCCUUCUAGCAAGGCCAACCAGAGAAGACUGCCAACAGGGAACCUGGUGCCUACUCCAAUUGCUCACUGACAAAGCAUACAAAGUCUCCUGGAAAAGGGUACAGAUCUCCAGGCAACAGGUGAUGUACCUCAGUUUCCACAUCACUCGGGCACCAGACACUGGCACAUGAGCGUAAGCAUACCAUCUGUACAAUUCCCAACCAGUCAGAGACAACUAAGAGAAUUCCUGGGAGCAGCCAGAUUCUGCUGCAUCUGGAUCCCAAGUUUCUCCCUAAAGGCCAAGCCUCUGUGCAAGUCCCUACGAGGGCCUGAAAACAAAGAAUUGGAUUGGCCUGAGAGUCAUGAAAGGGCUUUCCAGGAAAUAAAAGACUUACUAAAAAGAGCCUCCGUACUAGGGCUACCAGACCUCACCAAAGACUUUGACCUGUUUGUAUACAAGAAGAAACAAGUGGCUCUGGAGGUUUUGACUCAAACUGUGAGCCCAUGGCAGAGACCAGUGGCUUACUUGUCAAAACAAUUGGACCUGGUAGAAACAGGAUGGCCACCUUGCCUCCGUGCACUGGGGCAGCCACCAUCCUGCUAGUCAAGGAAGCAGACAAACUCAACACUGGGACAAAACCUCCAUGUGCGAGUCCCUCAUACAGUAAUGCACACCUCAGGGCACCGGUGGGUCUCUAAUGCACACCUCAGGGCACCAAUGGCUCUUAAGCAACUGGUUAGCACAAUACCAGGGACUGCUACGUGUAAAUCUGCGGGUCACCCUGGAGCCUGUGCAGACCUUGAAUCCCACCACCCUCCUACCCACGGAGACAGGCCCCCAGACCAUGAUUGCACCGAGGCAUUAGAGGAGGUCUGUGCCAGCUGGCCAGAUCUGAAGGACAGUCCUAUACCAGCACUGGACUUAGAACUCUACACGGUUGGCAGUAGUUUUAUCCAGAAUGGGAAAUGAUUGGCGGGCUUCAUAGUCACACAGUGGAUGAGGUCAUCAUGUCAGCUCCUUUGCCCCAAGGGUGGUCAGCACAAAAGGGGGAGCUACGGGCCCUCAUCCAAGCCCUUAGGCAUGCCCAUGGUAAGAAGACAAAUAUAUACGCAGACUCUAAAUAUGCCUUUGUCACAAUACGUAUCCAUGGGGCAAUGUACAGGGAGAGGGGACUGCUGACUGCAGGUGGAAAGGAGAUCAAAAAUAGGGAUGAAAUCCUCCAACUGCUGGAGGUGGUUUGGGAGCCAAAAGAAAUUGUGGUCAUCCACUGUCGAGGGCUCCAAAAGGGCACAGGUCCAGUUGCCAUUGGUAAUCACCUGACAGACCAAGCAGCCAAAAGUGCAGCUACCCGAAAAUGUUCAGAGGACAACACUGCAACCCAGUGCCAAAUCUUGUUGGCACCUGAGUGGCCUGAAGAACCAAAGAAAACGCCAGAAGAGAACCAGUGGGCAAAGCAAGAGAAGGCCAAGAGGGAUGCAGACGGGUGGUGGCACCUACAGAAUCAUAACAUCUUUAUCCCCGGUAAACUAGCGUACUCUGUUGUCUCCUGACAUCACAACCUGACUCACUUAGGGAAAACAGCCCUCAUGCAGCUACUCGCCCAGUACUACUAUACCGCCAAACUUCCAUCCAUCUCUGCAGCAGUCAGCACCCGCUGCCAGACCUGUGCUUAAAACAAUGCAGUGGUCAGGCUGAGACCCGCCCCAGGAACUCAGUACACCGGAACCUCUCCGUUCGAGGAUGUGGAAGGAGAUUUCACAGAAGUAAUACCAUGUCAGGUCUAUACAUACGUGCUGGUGGUGAUAUGCACCUUCUCAGGCUGGGUCGAGGCAGUCCGUAGCCGGACUGAAAAGGCUAGGGAAGUGGCAAAGCUUCUAUUAAGAGAGAUCAUCCCCAAGUAUGGUCUGCCACUCUCCUUAGGCAGUGACAACAGACCAAGCCUCACUGCAGAGGUUAUGCAAACCUUACCAAGGCACUAGGAAUCAAAUGGAAACUAUAUACAGCCUACAGGCCACAGAGCUCAGGGAAAGUAGAGGGCAUGGACCAGACCCUCAAGACCACUCUAGUGAAGCCAUGUCAGGAAACACAAUUAUCCUGGGUAGACAUGCUAAGCCUAGCCCUGUUCGGAGUCAGGUGCAUACUGGAACCCACAGGAUAUUCACCCUUUGAAAUCCUGUUCAGUAGACUUCUCCUACUCAUCAAGCAAUUAAGGGGAGACAUUAGACAACUAGGGGAAUUGAAUAUAAACACACACCUCCAAGCCUUAGCCAAAGCUAUGUGCCAUACCCACCAUACUGUCCUAGAAAAAACCCCUAUCACCCUGGGUCUCCCUGUCCACCCCCACCAACCAGGGAAUCUAGUCUGGGUAAAGGACUGGAAAAGAACACCCUCAGAGCCCAGCUGGAAGGGUCCCCAUACUGUGAUACUAGUUACUCCCACUGCAGGUAUCACUCUGUAGAUCCAUCACUCCCAGGUGAAAAAGGCUGAACCAGACAACAAAACUGAUCUCUGGACUGCACAUCAGGACCAGCCUAACCCACUAAAGAUCCAGCUUAACCAUCUCCAAAAGAGGACAGCCACACCCAGGACUGAACAGAAACUACUUUUAAAGAGAAUUUCAUUGAUGAUGAAGGCAUGGCCAAGACCAGCUCUCCACGACUAUAGAAUUAUUUGCAGAAAAUUGAGUCAGCAUGAAUAAAAUGCAAGAUUAUGCCUGUGAUACUGCUGCUAACAUGAGUGAAAAGUUAACAGAGUGUUACCAUCAAGUGUAGAGUCUUGGUAUGUCACCCCAGCUAGAGUGCAUCGUGGGC